This 557-nucleotide ribosomal RNA is filed under the name uncultured bacterium. RNAcentral describes it as "bacterial SSU rRNA". It matches the Rfam family "Bacterial small subunit ribosomal RNA", at positions 102 to 674 of the family's 1533-position model. The record is from RNAcentral.
ACGGGUGAGUAACGCGUAGAAAUCUGCCUUGAGAUGGGGGAUAACAGUCCGAAAGGAUCGCUAAUACCGCAUAUGUAUGUACUCGGACACGAGUGUAUAUGAAAGGAGUAAUCCGUCUUAAGAUGAGUCUGCGUCCGAUUAGCUAGUUGGUUGGGUAAAGGCCUACCAAGGCGACGAUCGGUAGCUGGUCUGAGAGGAUGAUCAGCCACAAUGGGACUGAGACACGGCCCAUACUCCUACGGGAGGCAGCAGUGGGGAAUUUUGUGCAAUGGGGGAAACCCUGACACAGCGACACCGCGUGAACGAAGAAGCCCUUUGGGGUGUAAAGUUCUGUCGGCUGGAACGAAAAAAAUGACGGUACCAGCAAAGGAAGCAUCGGCUAACUACGUGCCAGCAGCCGCGGUAAGACGUAGGAUGCAAGCGUUGUCCGGAUUUAUUGGGCGUAAAGAGUUCGUAGGCGGUUCGUUAAGUCUGAUGUUAAAGACUGGGGCUCAACCCCGGGAGUGCAUUGGAUACUGGCGGACUGGAGUGUGGUAGAGGCUAGUGGAAUUCCCAGU